This 72-nucleotide transfer RNA is filed under the name Pseudomonadota bacterium. RNAcentral describes it as "Proteobacteria bacterium (marine sediment metagenome) tRNA-Thr". It matches the Rfam family "tRNA". Rfam says of the family: Transfer RNA (tRNA) molecules are approximately 80 nucleotides in length. The record is from RNAcentral. Lineage: Bacteria; Pseudomonadati; Pseudomonadota. RNAcentral also lists the same sequence under 1 other name.
GCCGGCGUAGCUCAGCGGUAGAGCAAGUGAUUCGUAAUCACUAGGUCGACGGUUCGAUUCCGCCCGCCGGCU